UGCCAGGGCUGUGCUACGCCAGCGAUCCCGAGAUGCUCAAAUAUGCUCACUCUGAACGGGGUGAUGCACUGCGACAUGUUCGGAGGGAGGACUGAAUUCCAUGAGAUGAGAAAGCCAUUGAUACAGGCUUUUUCAUGCAAGUUGACUAAUAAACUUCUCAAAGGAUUAUACUAACAUCAACUGCUUUCUCUAGAAUAAUGUACACCAGGAGGCUGAAAACUUCUCGGUGGGCCGCUGGCAGCAGAAUUUAUCACCGGAAGGGAGCCAGCUCUGGCAGGCAGAGCCCUCCAAGAUCUCUCGGGGACGAAGGUUCAGGUUGUCCCGCGACUCGCCCACGGCUGUGUCCCUCAUAAAUGGCAGCAGUGUGACUGGAAUGUGGCUCUUCUCACCUGGAGUCCAGCACGCCCCCAACACACCGCAGUCCACGCUUGCCUGGGUCUCUUCUGUUAUCCUGAAGGAAACGCAGGCGGCCCCAGUCAGACCUGAAACAAGGGGUGGCAGGAGGGCUGUCAGUGCAGGGGCCCCUGGGGCGCUGCACAGGGGGGCACUCCCUGGACGUGAUUUCACAUGGAAUAAGAUGCAAACCUCACAGACCAGCGCCUGGGAAGGAAACAGAGAGGAUGGAAAUGAAAGAUGGAUCUCAAAGCAAUUAACUAGAGAUGAUUUAUACCCAGAAGGGUUGCUGAGGCGGAGAGAAUGAAGCCAGACUCAAAAGACCACAUAAAAUAUGAUUCCAUUUAUAUGAAAUAUCCAGAACAGACAAAUCCCUAGAGAUAGAUACAAAACAGAUUACUGGUUGCCAGGGGCUCAGAAGGCAGGGAGGGAGGAUAGGGAGGGACUGCUUAAUGGGUACAGAUUUCCUUUUAGGGUAAUGAAAAUGUUCUGGAACUAGGCAGUGGUAAUGUUGCACAGCAUUGUGAACCCGCUGAAUGUCACCAGUUUUUAUGUUAAGUGUAUUUUACCACAAUAAAAAAAACAUAGACACAUAUACACACACUUUAAAAAAAUCAUCCUACUGGUUGGUUAAUACCAAUUUCAGUCUCUAAGGUACUUUUGCAACAUAGCUGAUGAAUGGUCAUCCGGAUUGUACCAGAAUAUCCUCACUGAAAAGAAAAUUGUUCAAAAGUAAACAUAUUUCAUUUUUAGGAAGCCCCGAUUAUUAGAAAACUCACUGUUAAAGUGAACUCAAAUCAAUAUUCUUGAGAGAGAGAGGGAGAAAAGAGGUGGCAGUGUGCUGAGUGAUCAGGGUGAAAUUCAGGUAUUUCCCACAUUUGUAUUUGUGCCUUUAGAGAGAGCCCAAUUCUGGUCUUGGGGCGACAGUCUCGCAAAGACAGCUACAUUAAGGUAUCUUCCAGUCUGAAGUGGGGUGGCUACAUUUUCCUGAGCACGUGAAACGAAAAGGCUUGUAUAGAAUUCAGGAGUUAUGUCUGGAAUUAUUCCAGAACUUGGAAUCAUAAACGAUUCAAAAUCUACCCUCAAUGAGCACUGCUAUAGAGGGACAGGAAUCUAGAAAAAUUCUCAGAAUUUUCUACUUGAAGAAAUAACACUACUACGCUCAUUUUAAAAUGAGAGGAUCGUGGGGGAAAAUGCACGAGAAAAACCACAUUACCAGUAAUGUUCUGUGUUUUAUAAACAGAUACAAAAUCAAAAGUCUUUCUAAAAUGAAGCCCCCAAGGGCUUGGAUUUAUAGAAUAUUAUGCAUCCACUUUUCCAAAAACAUGUCUACUGUGUAAAUCCAAACACACGUGCAUUCCCUUUAUUUAUAUGCUAUACCCUAAAU
Long non-coding RNA from Ailuropoda melanoleuca (giant panda), 1780 nucleotides. RefSeq lists it as uncharacterized. NCBI's taxonomy places the organism in Eukaryota, Metazoa, Chordata, Mammalia, Carnivora, Ursidae. The transcript has 3 exons. The record is from RefSeq and is a predicted model, not a curated record.